UCCCUGGUGUCUCAGACAGUAAAGAAUCUGCCUGCAAUGCAGGAGACCCAGGUUCGAUCCCUGAGUUGGGAA
Molecule: transfer RNA, 72 nt
Filed under: Ovis aries (sheep)
Lineage: Eukaryota; Metazoa; Chordata; Mammalia; Artiodactyla; Bovidae
Rfam family: tRNA
About the family: Transfer RNA (tRNA) molecules are approximately 80 nucleotides in length. Their secondary structure includes four short double-helical elements and three loops (D, anti-codon, and T loops).
Source: Rfam by way of RNAcentral